GGAGGCCCGGGGCAGAGGAAAAAAAUUUACCACCGAUGAUUCCAUUUGUGUGCUGGGAAUAAGCAAAAGAAACGUUAUUUUUCAACCUGUGGCAGAGCUGAAGAAGCAAACGGAUUUUGAGAAUGUGUUAAAUCACUCUACUCCACAAGGAACCAAACCAAACAGCAUCAGCACCAGGCUGAGUCGCGGAAAGGAUCUGUCAGACCGCUCCACUGGCAUCGACUCAGCUCGGGAGCUACGUUCAAAGAAGGAGGACAUUUAAGGUGAAAGGGUUGCAGGCAGAGGGGCCUGGAGCAGCAGGAGGCCACCUCCCAAAGGCUCCACUCCCAGGGGCCAACAGAGAGACCACAUCCAGAAUUGAACCAGGGAUACGCAGACACCAACGGAGAAGACAUGAGCGUCAACCUCCUCCACGGAGCAGCACGGCUUCUCUACUGACAUCCAUGA
Long non-coding RNA from Homo sapiens (human), 447 nucleotides. The record is from Ensembl. Lineage: Eukaryota; Metazoa; Chordata; Mammalia; Primates; Hominidae.